Molecule: long non-coding RNA, 512 nt
Filed under: Ananas comosus (pineapple)
Lineage: Eukaryota; Viridiplantae; Streptophyta; Magnoliopsida; Poales; Bromeliaceae
Description: long non-coding RNA (ACOM_LNC022496)
Source: RNAcentral
UCAAUAGUCCCCUAAAAUUUAAAAUAUCAUAAAUAUAUUCUUAAACUCAAGAAAUAAUUAUAAAUAUCCUUCUUAAUAACUUGAGCAAUACUACACAUACAUCCCAAAGAAUGUAUAUCAUACAUCCCAUUCAUUUUAGGAUGAAAAUUUUUUUAGGGUAAACUUCAAAUACCACCUGUGGUUUCGCACUUUCCCACUUUAGUACCUUGUGAUUUAAAGUGUAUCAAUUUAGUAUCCUGUGUUUUCAUUUUCCUCUUUUCGUCGGCCCCUCCGUUAACUUUUCAUUAAAUCAUAUACAAAAAACUUCAGAUACUCCACCUAUAGUUUAUCGAAUAUUCACUUUAGUACUCUUUAGUCUUAACUUUGUCACUGAUGUAAUGAAAAAAAUUAUUGAAUGGGAUAACAAAAAGAGAAAAAUAAAAUCACAGGGCACGAAAGUGAUACACUUCAAACCACAUGAUACUAAAGUGAAAAAGUGCGAAACCACAGAGAUGGUAUUUGAAGUUUUUUUC